Molecule: ribosomal RNA, 441 nt
Filed under: uncultured bacterium
Lineage: Bacteria
Description: partial 16S ribosomal RNA
Rfam family: Bacterial small subunit ribosomal RNA
Source: RNAcentral
CCUACGUGAGGCAGCAGUGGGGGAUAUUGCACAAUGGGGGGAACCCUGAUGCAGCGACGCCGCGUGGGUGAAGGAGUGCUUCGGCAUGUAAAGCCCUAUCGGCAGGGAAGAAGCAAGACGGUACCUGACUAAGAAGCCCCGGCUAACUACGUGCCAGCGGCCGCGUUAGUACGUAGGGGGCGAGCGUUAUCCGGAUUCACUGGGUGUAAAGGGAGCGUAGACGGCCAAGCAAGCCAGGGGGGAAAGCCCUGGGCCCAACCCCGGGACUGCCCUUGGAACUGCAUGGCGGGAGUGCGGGAGGGGCAGGCGGAAGUCCUGGUGGAGCGGGGAAAUGCGUAGAUAUCAGGAGGAACACCGGCGGCGAAGGCGGCCUGCUGGACCGCGACUGAAGUUGAGGCUCGAAAGCGUGGGGAGCGAACAGGAUUAGAUACCCGUGUAGUC